Molecule: ribosomal RNA, 253 nt
Filed under: uncultured bacterium
Lineage: Bacteria
Description: partial 16S ribosomal RNA
Rfam family: Bacterial small subunit ribosomal RNA
Source: RNAcentral
UACGAAGGGGGCUAGCGUUGUUCGGAAUCACUGGGCGUAAAGCGCACGUAGGCGGAUCUUUAAGUCAGAGGUGAAAUCCCGGGGCUCAACCUCGGAACUGCCUUUGAUACAGCACGUCUUGAGUCCGAUAGAGGUGGGUGGAAUUCCUAGUGUAGAGGUGAAAUUCGUAGAUAUUAGGAAGAACACCGGUGGCGAAGGCGGCCCACUGGAUCGGUACUGACGCUGAGGUGCGAAAGCGUGGGGAGCAAACAGG